GAAAUGAGUGAGAUGUGACAAGACCUGUGUAUGCUCUCUGGGAAACAUAGCUGCUCUCAAACAUGCCCACCUUUAAACCAGGCUGUCAUCCUAAUACAGAAACCCAACGAAGAGGCCACACAUUAAAUGGUAACAGCAUUGCUCCCAGAGCACAUCACAGCCCACAAGUUAACACACUUUGAAAAUGGUACACGGUCGCUUGGAAAACAGGAACCAGAUGGGGUAAACCAGAUCUUC
Gavialis gangeticus (Gharial) is the source of this 237-nucleotide long non-coding RNA. RefSeq lists it as uncharacterized. The record is from RefSeq and is a predicted model, not a curated record. Lineage: Eukaryota; Metazoa; Chordata; Crocodylia; Gavialidae. The transcript is spliced from 3 exons.